UAGGUGAACCUGCGGAAGGAUCAUUAAUGAAUGCAAAUGGCGAAGGGGGGAGGAGCAUGGGAAUGCUGUCGCUGGUCUCUAGUACUAGACUGGAGGCAUGUGCACGCUACUACCAUGGGAUCCCUCGACGUCUUUCAUCAUCUAUCACCUGUGCACCUAAUGUAGGUUGGUACGGUUCUGGUGAAACGGAAUCGGAGAACCUAUGUCUUCAUAUACGUCUUUGUGUAGAAAGUCUCUGAAUGUUUACUAUCAGAGAGUCGCGACUUCUAGGAGACGUGAAUCUUUGAGUCAAAAGUUAUUACAACUUUCAGCAAUGGAUCUCUUGGCUCUCGCAUCGAUGAAGAACGCAGCGAAACGCGAUAUGUAAUGUGAAUUGCAGAUCUACAGUGAAUCAUCGAAUCUUUGAACGCACCUUGCGCUCCUUGGUAUUCCGAGGAGCAUGCCUGUUUGAGUGUCAGUAAUUUCUCAACCCCUCUUGAUUUGAUUCGAGGGGGAGCUUGGAUGGUGGGGGUUUUGCCGUAGACUUGGGCCAAGUUCUUCUUGGUCUAGGAUUUGGGGCUCUCCUGAAAUGCAUUGGCUUGCGGUCGACUUUCGACUUUGCACGACAAGGCUUUCGGCGUGAUAAUGAUCGUCGUGUGCUGAAGUGCAUGAAUGAAGGUUCCGUGCCUCUAAUAUGUCGAUCCCCCUU
RNAcentral lists this ribosomal RNA (688 nucleotides) under uncultured Rhizopogonaceae. RNAcentral describes it as "eukaryotic LSU rRNA". The stretch from base 303 to 457 matches the Rfam family "5.8S ribosomal RNA". Lineage: Eukaryota; Fungi; Basidiomycota; Agaricomycetes; Boletales; Rhizopogonaceae. The record is from RNAcentral.